AACAAGCCCUUACGGGGAAAGUUUUAACGCCGAAAGAUGAGCCCGCACUUGAUUAGCUAGUUGGUAAGGUAAAAGCUUACCAAGGCAAUGAUCAAUAGCUGUUCUUAGAGGAAGACCAGCCACAUUGGGACUGAGACACGGCCCAGACUCCUACGGGAGGCAGCAGUGGGGAAUCUUGCACAAUGGGGGAAACCCUGAUGCAGCGAUGCCGCGUGAGUGAAGAAGGCCUUUGGGUUGUAAAACUCUUUCGUCGGGGAAGAAAAUGAGUGUACCCGAAUAAGGAGGUCCGGCUAACUUCGUGCCAGCAGCCGCGGUAAUACGAAGGGACCUAGCGUAGUUCGGAAUUACUGGGCUUAAAGAGCUCGUAGGUGGUUAAAAAAGUUGAUGGUGAAAUCCCAAGGCUCAACCUUGGAACUGCCAUCAAAACUUUUUAGCUAGAGUGUGAUAGAGGUAAGUGGAAUUUCUAGUGUAGAGGUGAAAUUCGUAGAUAUUAGAAAGAACACCAAAUGCGAAGGCAACUUACUGGGUCACUACUGACACUGAGGAGCGAAAGCAUGGGUAGCGAAGAGGAUUAGAUACCCUCGUAGUCCAUGCCGUAAACGAUGUGUGCUAGACGUUGGAAAUAUAUUUUUUCAGUGUCGCAGCGAAA
This 649-nucleotide ribosomal RNA is filed under the name uncultured Pelagibacterales bacterium. RNAcentral's name for it is "bacterial SSU rRNA". It matches the Rfam family "Bacterial small subunit ribosomal RNA", at positions 172 to 856 of the family's 1533-position model. The record is from RNAcentral. Lineage: Bacteria; Pseudomonadati; Pseudomonadota; Alphaproteobacteria; Candidatus Pelagibacterales.